UGGAGGCAGGGCUGUGCCAGCCUCAGAGGAUAUGUGGGUUAUGAAAGAAGGAUCUGGAACUACACCAUCUACAGAUAAGUGUACAGCACGCAGCCCGUCUACAAGUGCUGCCCCGGUCGGAGCCGGUGGGACCAUGAACCUGGCUGCCCAUGCUCUGUCUCUGCAAUGGGGACAUGUUUCAAUGGGAGGAGGUGCUCAGACAGUGAGGCCCAGCGGUGCCAGUGUUCAGAGGGUUUCCAAGGCCCCUGCUGUCAAUAUGGUGAGUCGCCAAUAAGACUGUUUUAUUAUGAUUUGGAGCUGUCUGCUUUGCUUUUAGGGGCCAGCCAAUUUUGUCGAUUCAGACUAAUGGCAGGGUUAUCCCUCCAGGGACUGGUGAGCAUUUAAAAUGAGCCACUAAGCAAAAACCUACAACCUACAGUGUACUCAGCAUCACAAAAUAUGCUUUGCAGUUUAGUUUUAAUUAUUCACUAUGAGUUCAAAGGGUAGCAGUAAGUACAAAAUAGUCUGUUUUGUAAAGGAAAAGGCAGCUUAAUAAGAAAACCUCAUUCUGACCUCAGAUGAUAAAUCUUUAACAGAGCAAUAGUUUGAAAGUGCUGGUACAGUAUUUUUCUGUGGGGUAUUUGUGGUUUAUGGAUGAACAAAGUGGGGGUUAGCACAGAUUCAAUGUGAUGUGAUAUUUACUACUUUUGUGCCCAUUAUUAAAAACAAAACAAAACAAAAAACCCAACGCUUGCUUGAUUCUCAAAGUAUCAAAACUUGGUAACCUAAUUUUCAAGGUUAGAACUCUAUCAACUGUCAGUUUUGGACAUGUGCAUUUGAAAUAUUUCUUGUACAGGAAAUUUUCAAAAUGGCCAAUGAUUUAUCUCUUUCUGCAUCUGCCGUGAGAUCGGUGCUUUCAGAAGGAUUUGUUUUGACUUGAUCAUCUGAUUCUAGCCUCCAGAGAAGGUGACUGCAUCUGCAUUUAUCUUUUCAGGGAAGAAAAAAACAAAAUAAAACCUAUCUUAACGGAAGUUAAAGAAAUAGG
RNAcentral lists this long non-coding RNA (1024 nucleotides) under Ursus maritimus (polar bear). RNAcentral's name for it is "lncRNA (ENSUMAG00000002871.1)". Lineage: Eukaryota; Metazoa; Chordata; Mammalia; Carnivora; Ursidae. The record is from RNAcentral.